Molecule: long non-coding RNA, 452 nt
Organism: Armigeres subalbatus
Lineage: Eukaryota; Metazoa; Arthropoda; Insecta; Diptera; Culicidae
Exons: 3
Source: RefSeq, a predicted model, not a curated record
CAACUAUGGAACUAUUGUUAAAAUAACUAUUUCGAAAUGUGUUUAUAUUAAAUAGAAAUGCAAUUAAAUUGACUGCAUGUUUGUUAAAAAUACCAUGCUGUUGACAGUCCAUGGUAUUAUUAACUAAAAUUCAUGGUACUGCGGUCGCCUGGAAAAAAGUGCAGAAGACGCCAUAUUAUUUACAUUAUUAGGAGCUCCGCAAAAAAACCAUUUUAAAAUUGCUCAAAUUGGGAAAAAUAAAUAAAUUAUUCAUGGCGAAUUGAAAACUACACCACAUCAAGGUUACAUGCUCAAAAUAGGAGAAAUGCUACCGCUGAAUAGGUUCUAAAAAUAUGAUUGAAUCACAAAUCUUGCAAAGGAUUCAGGAGGAGAUCUUGAGAAUGUUCCCCUCGGAGAAUCUAUGCGCUGUUGAGAAACAAUCAUGAGAAACAUGAUGACGUCGAAAUACGAAC